RNAcentral lists this ribosomal RNA (414 nucleotides) under Triticum aestivum (bread wheat). RNAcentral's name for it is "partial small subunit ribosomal RNA". The record is from RNAcentral. Lineage: Eukaryota; Viridiplantae; Streptophyta; Magnoliopsida; Poales; Poaceae.
AUGAACGUUAGGAGAGUUUUGUGCCAAAAGAUUGCUAGCACAUAUGAUUCACAAGUUGUCGCGUUUGUGAUACACGGGGUACCUAUGAGAAUAACCUUGCAAGACGUAGAACACAUCACAGGCCUGCCCAGCAUGGGGAGGGACUAUGUCCCUCCUCCGUUCAAAGAAGUGCAGGACUUAUGGCUUGAUUUAAAGGAUCCCGAAGAUAACAAACUGACCUUGAAAGGUCUUCGUAAGAAGAUGAUUGGCGAAGAGAGGCCACGGUUUGUGAAGCCUUAUGUCUUGUACACCAUUGGCAAUGUGAGGAAGUUUGUGAACGGUGCCGCGAACUUGGAGGGGAAUCUCCCACUACUGCAGGUAGUACAAACUCUUCCUAUGAUAUUCUUUAAUUGGUCAAUUAUGUAUUCUUUUUAA